Molecule: ribosomal RNA, 403 nt
Filed under: uncultured microorganism
Description: bacterial SSU rRNA
Rfam family: Archaeal small subunit ribosomal RNA
Source: RNAcentral
GUGCACCAGGCGAGAAACCUCCGCAAUACACGAAAGUGUGACGGGGCCAUCCCGAGUGCCGUCCGCUGAGGACGGCUUUUCCCCAGUGUACACAGCUGGGGGAAUAAGGAGAGGGCAAGCCUGGUGUCAGCCGCCGCGGUAAUACCAGCUCUCCGAGUGGUGGGGACGCUUAUUGGGCCUAAAGCAUCCGUAGCCGGCUGGGCAAGUCCUCCGUUAAAUCCAACGAUUCAAUCGUUGGGCUGCGGGGGAUACUGUCCAGCUUGGGGGCGGGAGAGGCCGACGGUAUUCCCGGGGUAGGGGUGAAAUCCUAUAAUCCCGGGAGGACCACCAGUGGCGAAGGCUGUCGGCUAGAACGCGCCCGACGGUGAGGGAUGAAAGCUGGGGGAGCGAACCGGAUUAGAUA